GCUUCGGUGGUGUUGUGGUAGAGCACGCAUCCCCAGUUAGGAUGAAACGAGAGUUCGAUUCCCGCCUUAUGCC
Non-coding RNA from Parelaphostrongylus tenuis, 73 nucleotides. Lineage: Eukaryota; Metazoa; Nematoda; Chromadorea; Rhabditida; Metastrongylidae. The record is from the annotation of a GenBank genome assembly.